UGUUGGCACGGUUCAAUCAAA
This 21-nucleotide microRNA is filed under the name Zea mays. Its description in RNAcentral is "zma-miR171i-5p". Its record names the gene zma-miR171i-5p. The record is from miRBase by way of RNAcentral. Lineage: Eukaryota; Viridiplantae; Streptophyta; Magnoliopsida; Poales; Poaceae.